RNAcentral lists this ribosomal RNA (306 nucleotides) under uncultured Peredibacter sp. RNAcentral's name for it is "bacterial SSU rRNA". It matches the Rfam family "Bacterial small subunit ribosomal RNA", at positions 1033 to 1340 of the family's 1533-position model. The record is from RNAcentral. Lineage: Bacteria; Pseudomonadati; Bdellovibrionota; Bacteriovoracia; Bacteriovoracales; Bacteriovoracaceae.
GAGAGGUGCUGCGUGGCUGUCGUCAGCUCGUGUUGUGAAAUGUUGGGUUAAGUCUCGCAACGAGCGCAACCCCUAUCGUCUGUUGCCAGCAUUAAGUUGGGCACUCUGACGAGACUGCCUGGGUUAACCAGGAGGAAGGUGGGGAUGACGUCAAGUCCUCAUGGCCCUUAUGUCUAGGGCUACACACGUAAUACAAUGGCGCGUACAGAGGGAAGCGAACCAGCAAUGGGGAGCAAAUCUCAAAAAGCGCGUCUCAGUCCGGAUUGGAGUCUGCAACUCGACUCCAUGAAGUUGGAAUCGCUAGUA